GAUGACAGGACCUAGCCCCUCCUCCGUGCUAAACCUAGACCCGCCGCUGCCGAUUCGUUCCCGUGGAUACGAUAGCUCCAUGUAGAGAAGGGUGAGAGGGGCGGAGGGAGAGAGAAGGGGCGGCCCCAGCGGCACUCGGGCACUGGCACCUGACCGCCCCUUACCCCUCGAAGUUGUCACUCCUUGCCCCUCGUGCCCACGAGACGACCACCUCCGUACAAAACCCUGCCCCUCUGGAGAUCGGCACACCUUACUUCACUCGAAACCUACGUUUGACUUAAAGUAGAGAGAGCCAAGAACAAAAGACGACUAUCGUGUAUUAUUGUAACCAUUACAACUCGGCUGUUUCUCUUCAUCGUCUGAUUAAAGAUACAGCUGUUUACUACUAAACGAGGGGCAUACACCAAAGACCAGUAUAACCCGAUACACUUUUAACCAAAAAGAGACAUAAGAGGUAUACUGUAAUAAAAUAUUAGCGACCUUAUACUUUUAUCUUACCACACGUCAAGACGGGAACACUCGUUAGAGACUACGAAUAUAUAUGAUCGUCAUUGCACAUCAUAAUCCAUACCGUUUCAUUUAAACGAAGUUGUUAGUUAAGGUCGCGUCGUUAAAAAAAUACCCUAAAGAGAACGUUAGACGUGACUUAAAACAUGCGGCUACGGUCAAACUACCAAAACGAAACUUACCAGAAGAGUUCCUUUGGCACAAGUUAAACAUACAAAACGAAACUUGCUCAGAAAGACCUUUAGACAUACACAUGAAUAUACCGACCAACCUUAACACGUUUAACACUACCAAACGAAAGAUACUCGUUGAUGAACUUACGACUUUAAAAUAUGUCAUGUAUAGUACAGUUGUUGUACAUAGAGAAAAAUAAAGUGUACACCUAUCUCUUCAACGGUAUGUAACAACAGGGGAACCGUUAUCAUACAUUAAGAGUUUAAUUGAACGAUAGAAACGAGUCAUCGUAAAUUAUACUGAUUAAACUCUAGUCGUUUCUCCUUACCCGGACUUCUUUAUGACUAUAACUCGAUCCAGACGUUCCGCUACAUAACUCGAGACGCAUCGGAAACAUACACAAAAGCUAAGAGAAAAAAAAAAUUUGUAUCGGACAUCUACAGGAUGCCAUAUACAAUCGUGUUGAUGACUUCCUAAACGUCCACUCGUUGACAAUAUACUCAAACCUACUGCCUUAUAGUCAUAAUGUAGUUUUAGAUGCCGAAAUAUAUGAAACAGUGUAUGACGGUAUAAAGUAUAUACUGCUGGUAUAGUUAGUGCACAACAAAGAAAAAGUAAGUCUCACAUGUAACGAAGGUCACAUUGUUCUUGUCUUUUAUUCUAUCAAUUUCGUAGCACCCCUGGUCCUCCGGUUCGUCAGACACCACAGAGGCAGCAACAACGUUUCUUUGUACGGGUUUGAACCUUGAAAGAGAUAGCCAAGUCCAACCUGCUCGUUCUGUUGUAUGACGUCUGACCCUUGUUCUCAUACAAGCAGUAGUAACUAUACACAAUUAUGAGAGGAACUCUAACUAAGGAAACGAAAGCGUUUUUUCGCAGUCUAUGUACCGCUCGAAGUUUUAUAGUCCAACGUUUAUGGUAGCAACGAAACCUGGAACGGUACCUACCUACCUGUGAUUUACUGGUGUUUACGGAGAUCUAAUAAUUAUUCGCACCAAGAUGCAAGUCACGAAACCCGUAGACAAAACAGAGCCCGACCAAGAUGCAUGGACUAAAACGAACCUUGUCGGUGUCCCCGCUCCUACAAUAUAACUACGUCGAACCAAACGAUUGAUCGUUACAAAACAAAGAAUCUGCCUGUUUGAACAUAGAGUCUUGGAACUACUUAACAAAGUAAACUAGUCGAAUACACCUUUGAUGAUUAAAAGUAACGGAGACAUGUGUGUGAACGUAUGGGAAAAAGGACCACGAAUAACCGUUACCGGGUAAGUAUCCGUACUGGAUCUUCUUUU
Molecule: ribosomal RNA, 1973 nt
Filed under: Triticum aestivum (bread wheat)
Lineage: Eukaryota; Viridiplantae; Streptophyta; Magnoliopsida; Poales; Poaceae
Description: partial small subunit ribosomal RNA
Source: RNAcentral